CGAAGGUAGCAUAAUCAGUAGUCUUUUAAUUGAAGGCUGGUAUGAAUGGUUGGACGAAAUAUUAACUGUUUCAUAAAAAUUUUUUAUAGAAUUUUAUUUUUUAGUCAAAAAGCUAAAAUAAAUUUAAAAGACGAGAAGACCCUAUAAAUCUUUAUAUAAAAUUUUAUUAUAAUUUUUUAGAUAUAUUUUGUUAUAAUAAAUUAUUAUAUUUUAUUGGGGUGAUAUUAAAAUUUAAUAAACUUUUAAUUUUAUAUAAUCAUUAAUAUAUGAAUAAAUGAUCCGUUUUUAACGAUUAAAAAAUUAAGUUACUUUAGGGAUAACAGCGUAAUUUUUUUGGAGAGUUCAUAUCGAUAAAAAAGAUUGCGACCUCGAUGUUGGAUUAA
Molecule: ribosomal RNA, 383 nt
Filed under: Stevenia sp. n. 11 AT-2015
Lineage: Eukaryota; Metazoa; Arthropoda; Insecta; Diptera; Rhinophoridae
Description: partial 16S ribosomal RNA
Source: RNAcentral